ACGGAAGGCAGCAGUGGGGAAUAUUGCACAAUGGGGGAAACCCUGAUGCAGCGACGCCGCGUGAGCGAUGAAGUAUUUCGGUAUGUAAAGCUCUAUCAGCAGGGAAGAAAAUGACGGUACCUGACUAAGAAGCUCCGGCUAAAUACGUGCCAGCAGCCGCGGUAAUACGUAUGGAGCAAGCGUUAUCCGGAUUUACUGGGUGUAAAGGGAGCGUAGGCGGAAGGCUAAGUCUGAUGUGAAAACCCAGGGCUCAACCUUGGGACUGCAUUGGAAACUGGUUUUCUAGAGUGUCGGAGGGGUAAGUGGAAUUCCUAGUGUAGCGGUGAAAUGCGUAGAUAUUAGGAGGAACACCAGUGGCGAAGGCGGCUUACCGGACGACAACUGACGCUGAGGCUCGAAAGCGUGGGGAGCAAACAGGAUUAGAUACCCUGGUA
RNAcentral lists this ribosomal RNA (434 nucleotides) under uncultured bacterium. Its description in RNAcentral is "partial 16S ribosomal RNA". It matches the Rfam family "Bacterial small subunit ribosomal RNA", at positions 341 to 792 of the family's 1533-position model. The record is from RNAcentral.